GAUGAACGCUGGCUACAGGCUUAACACAUGCAAGUCGAGGGGAAACGACGGGGAAGCUUGCUUCCCCGGGCGUCGACCGGCGCACGGGUGAGUAACGCGUAUCCAACCUGCCUCUGACUGAGGGAUAACCCGUCGAAAGUCGGCCUAAUACCUCAUGGCAUCGUCUGCGGGCAUCCAACGACGAUUAAAGAUUUCAUCGGUCAGGGAUGGGGAUGCGUCUGAUUAGCUUGUUGGCGGGGUAACGGCCCACCAAGGCGACGAUCAGUAGGGGUUCUGAGAGGAAGGUCCCCCACAUUGGAACUGAGACACGGUCCAAACUCCUACGGGAGGCAGCAGUGAGGAAUAUUGGUCAAUGGGCGGGAGCCUGAACCAGCCAAGUAGCGUGCAGGAUGACGGCCCUAUGGGUUGUAAACUGCUUUUAGGCGGGGAUAAAGUGAGGGACGUGUCCCUCAUUGCAGGUACCGCAUGAAUAAGGACCGGCUAAUUCCGUG
This 491-nucleotide ribosomal RNA is filed under the name uncultured bacterium. RNAcentral describes it as "partial 16S ribosomal RNA". It matches the Rfam family "Bacterial small subunit ribosomal RNA", at positions 28 to 507 of the family's 1533-position model. The record is from RNAcentral.